Gallus gallus (chicken) is the source of this 651-nucleotide long non-coding RNA. The record is from Ensembl. NCBI's taxonomy places the organism in Eukaryota, Metazoa, Chordata, Aves, Galliformes, Phasianidae.
AUUGUUGUGAAUCUGUAAUUGUCUGCUUUUGGAAGGGAGACUUUCUGUCAAAUAGUGUAAAAGGAUAUAAGCUGAAUUCUAACUUGGGGUUUUAAUUGAGAAGGAUGAUUUUGAAAGAUUGUGAAAAUCAUAGGAGGUUGAGAGGCAAGAUAGCCAUGUGGAUCUGUCAGGGUUGUAUGAAGCUAAAAUAUUUCUUAGUUUAAGAAACUCAGGCAGAAAACUUCAUUAUGUAUUCAUUUCAACAGCAGCAGUGUUAUUACAGCUAGGAGAGGCCUAAUGGUGCCAGUGGCAUAAAGCAUCAAGCUUUUGUCCUGAACUGCUUUAUGUCUCACAACCGUACAGAUGCUGCUUCACAACUUCUCUGAGGUUUGUGAAUUCAGGAUAUCAUCUGUGCAUAACAUUUUGUUACUUAGUUUUUGAACAGUUGUAGUGGCAAUAAAUCCCAGCAACAUCUUUAUCAGUGAGAUGCUAUAAUGUUAAGUGGUCCAUGAAUCGUUGGAAGAAGCACAUCAGUAGUCUGAUAAUGCACCAUUUGGCAUUGUAUUCCAGAGAAGAAAAUGAGUUAGACAUUAUUGGUUUUCAUUUUCUGCAGUUCUCUAUUUCAGAAGGUGGACAAUUUGUAUUUGCACUGUGAAGAGGUAGAACAGAACA